CUUGGGGCAGCGUGGUCUCCAGCAGCUCGACAACUGCCUUCCGCUCGGGGAAUUUCCAAAGACUGCUGCUGUGGCUACUAAAGUUGCUAUUAUAUAAAAUGUAAAACGCUUUUGCUGUCCUACCAGCCACAUGGCAGGUGCUCCCUAGCCACACGCGGCCGGUGACACCGGAUGAGACAGUGCAGACAACCCGAAUGCUCGUUUAUUCUCGGGGAGCCACGGCCGCGAAGGGGGAGCACCUGACAUCUCUGCCCUCGUGGAGUUUAUGUCCUAAAGGGGAAGAUACAGAGCAGGCGACAGAUAUGGUGAGUAACUUUUGCCAUGGGCUGUAGACCCCGCAGGAAGCAGGUGACACACUCAACUGAGAAACGGGGCCGAGGAUUUAGCACAUUAUGGGCAGACUUCAGGGAAACCGGUGUGGGACCCCAGCAUUGCCGGCAGUGGGGGGCCCUCCCUGCAGCCCGCCACCCCGGGGGGCCUCGGCACAGCCCCUGCACCUGCUGACGAGCCAUCGGGCACAGCGACAAGCCCCCGCGGUCUCCACGACGCCUCGAGACUGUCGAGGACGCCCCAGCGGACAGGCUCUGCGGCCCACGCGGUGCCGUCGCUCAACAUGAACACCUGGGGUCGUUUCUUUCGAUAUUUAUUUCAAGAUUUCAGAGGCCACAGAAAUGCCCUGGCAGCGGGGACUUAUUUGGCCGGUGGGCUGGGGAGGCGGGGAUGGGACACUCAACACUUUUUUUCCAUUUCAGAAACUCAAACGUCAAAAACAAAAAUCAAAACGAAAAACCCCCCAACACAUGAAGAGGCUUAUUUGGGCUUUUCACAGCUAAUAGAGAAAAUCCUAAACCUGGGGUGAGCGGGUCCAGUCUGAUGAGAGAAGACAUGGAAGCACCAAAUGGUUAAAAGAAGAAAAAGGCAACGUCCAGACACGAGGUACUACCUGCAGCCUCCCGCCCGGUCCCGCGGCCCUGGGCGCUGCCUCCCACUAAGACCUCACAGGCCGGGCUCAGCUACCACAGCGGAGGCAUUAACGUCGAUAUGAGUCUAUUAACUAAACCACAGACCGUAACUGAGAUGUCACCAGUGUUGUCACCGACAUCCCUUUUCGAUCCAGGAUACCACAUCCUGGUUACUUGUCACGUCUCCUUAGUCCUCUCCAAUCUGUGACAUUUUCUCGGGCUUCCCUUGUCUUUCAUGACCUUGACCCUUUUGAAGAGUAUUGGUCAGGUGUUUUGUACAAAUGUCCCUCAAUUUGGGUUUGUCUGCUGUGGGCUCGUGACUGGACGGAGGUUAUGGAUUGUUG
This 1306-nucleotide long non-coding RNA is filed under the name Vulpes vulpes (red fox). RNAcentral describes it as "lncRNA (ENSVVUG00000013714.1)". Lineage: Eukaryota; Metazoa; Chordata; Mammalia; Carnivora; Canidae. The record is from RNAcentral.